This 406-nucleotide ribosomal RNA is filed under the name uncultured bacterium. RNAcentral's name for it is "partial 16S ribosomal RNA". It matches the Rfam family "Bacterial small subunit ribosomal RNA", at positions 30 to 526 of the family's 1533-position model. The record is from RNAcentral.
AUUGAACGCUGGCGGCAGGCCUAACACAUGCAAGUCGAACGAGUGGCGGACGGGUGAGUAAUGUAUGGGAAACUGCCUGAUGGAGGGGGAUAACUACUGGAAACGGUAGCUAAUACCGCAUACCAUCAGAUGUGCCCAGAUGGGUUUAGCUAGUUGGUGGGGGAACGGCUCGCCAAAGCGACGAUCCCUAGCUGGGCUGAGAGGAUGACCAGCCACCCUGGAACGGAGCCACGGUCCAGACUCCUACGGGAGGCAGCAGUGGGGAAUAUUGCACAAUGGGCGCAAGCCUGAUGCAGCCAUGCCGCGUGUCUGAAGAAGGGCUUCGGGUUGUAAAGUAAUUUCAGCGGGGAGGCGUUACUCGCAGAAGAAGCACCGGCUAACUCCGUGCCAGCAGCCGCGGUAAUUC